GACGAACGCUGGCGGCGUGCUUAACACAUGCAAGUCGUACGGUAAGGCCCUUUCGGGGGUCCACGAGUGGCGAACGGGUGAGUAACACGUGAGUAACCUGCCCACAACUUUGGGAUAACGCUAGGAAACUGGUGCUAAUACUGGAUAUGUGCUCCUGCUGCAUGGUGGGGGUUGGAAAGCUCCGGCGGUUGUGGAUGGACUCGCGGCCUAUCAGCUUGUUGGUGGGGUAGUGGCCUACCAAGGCGGCGACGGGUAGCCGGCCUGAGAGGGUGACCGGCCACAUUGGGACUGAGAUACGGCCCAGACCCCUACGGGAGGCAGCAGUGGGGAAUAUUGCACAAUGGGCGCAAGCCUGAUGCAGCAACGCCGCGUGCGGGAUGACGGCCUUCGGGUUGUAAACCGCUUUCAGCAGGGACGAAGCUUUUUGUGACGGUACCUGCAGAAGAAGCACCGGCUAACUACGUG
RNAcentral lists this ribosomal RNA (465 nucleotides) under uncultured bacterium. Its description in RNAcentral is "partial 16S ribosomal RNA". It matches the Rfam family "Bacterial small subunit ribosomal RNA", at positions 28 to 507 of the family's 1533-position model. The record is from RNAcentral.